RNAcentral lists this ribosomal RNA (465 nucleotides) under Vreelandella stevensii. RNAcentral describes it as "partial 16S ribosomal RNA". It matches the Rfam family "Bacterial small subunit ribosomal RNA", at positions 338 to 795 of the family's 1533-position model. The record is from RNAcentral. Lineage: Bacteria; Pseudomonadati; Pseudomonadota; Gammaproteobacteria; Oceanospirillales; Halomonadaceae.
CCUACGGGAGGCAGCAGUGGGGAAUAUUGGACAAUGGGGGCAACCCUGAUCCAGCCAUGCCGCGUGUGUGAAGAAGGCCCUCGGGUUGUAAAGCACUUUCAGUGAGGAAGAACGCCUGGUGGUUAAUACCCAUCAGGAAAGACAUCACUCACAGAAGAAGCACCGGCUAACUCCGUGCCAGCAGCCGCGGUAAUACGGAGGGUGCGAGCGUUAAUCGGAAUUACUGGGCGUAAAGCGCGCGUAGGUGGCUUGAUAAGCCGGUUGUGAAAGCCCCGGGCUCAACCUGGGAACGGCAUCCGGAACUGUCAAGCUAGAGUGCCGGAGAGGAAGGUAGAAUUCCCGGUGUAGCGGUGAAAUGCGUAGAGAUCGGGAGGAAUACCAGUGGCGAAGGCGGCCUUCUGGACUGACACUGACACUGAGGUGCGAAAGCGUGGGUAGCAAACAGGAUUAGAUACCCCUGUAGUC